RNAcentral lists this transfer RNA (71 nucleotides) under Emberiza schoeniclus (reed bunting). RNAcentral's name for it is "tRNA-Glu". The record is from RNAcentral. Lineage: Eukaryota; Metazoa; Chordata; Aves; Passeriformes; Fringillidae.
GUUCCUAUAGUUAAAAUUUGUAACGACGGCUUUUCAGGCCGUAGAUCCCGGAGAGAAGCUGGGUGGGAAUU